UUCCAGACUCCUACGGGAGGCAGCAGUGGGGAAUAUUGCACAAUGGGGGAAACCCUGAUGCAGCGACGCCGCGUGAGUGAAGAAGUAAUUCGUUAUGUAAAGCUCUAUCAGCAGGGAAGAAAAUGACGGUACCUGAGUAAGAAGCCCCGGCUAACUACGUGCCAGCAGCCGCGGCAAUACGUAGGGGGCAAGCGUUAUCCGGAUUUACUGGGUGUAAAGGGAGCGUAGACGGCGAUGCAAGCCAGAUGUGAAAGCCCGGGGCUCAACCCCGGGACUGCAUUUGGAACUGUGUGGCUGGAGUGUCGGAGAGGCAGGCGGAAUUCCUAGUGUAGCGGUGAAAUGCGUAGAUAUUAGGAGGAACACCAGUGGCGAAGGCGGCCUGCUGGACGACAACUGACGGUGAGGCGCGAAAGCGUGGGGAGCAAACAGGAUUAGAUACCCUGGUAAAA
This 449-nucleotide ribosomal RNA is filed under the name uncultured bacterium. Its description in RNAcentral is "bacterial SSU rRNA". It matches the Rfam family "Bacterial small subunit ribosomal RNA", at positions 329 to 793 of the family's 1533-position model. The record is from RNAcentral.